AAUUUUUUAAGAUCAAUGACUACUAAAUCUUUAAGGUAACAGACUACUAAUUUUUUUAAGGUCAGAGACCACCAAUUUUUUUGAGGUAAGAGACCACCAAUUUUUUUUUAGGUAAGAGACCACCAAAUUUUUAAGGUCAGAGACUACCAAUUUUUUAAGGUUAAU
This is a long non-coding RNA of Mercenaria mercenaria, 165 nucleotides long. RefSeq lists it as uncharacterized. Lineage: Eukaryota; Metazoa; Mollusca; Bivalvia; Venerida; Veneridae. The transcript is spliced from 2 exons. The record is from RefSeq and is a predicted model, not a curated record.